Molecule: long non-coding RNA, 440 nt
Organism: Melitaea cinxia (Glanville fritillary)
Lineage: Eukaryota; Metazoa; Arthropoda; Insecta; Lepidoptera; Nymphalidae
Exons: 2
Source: RefSeq, a predicted model, not a curated record
CAUUAAUGGUUCAGCUUUGUGCUUGCAGUGCAACUCGCGUAUCAAUACAAACCGUAAUUGUUAAAGCCUUGGCCCGAGGUGAAACGUGAUGAGUAGAUGAACGAGACAAGCUAUUGUACAACGCGCGUAUUGAUCGCCCACCUCUCAAAAUGCCAGGCUUUGGGUCGAGCAUUUUCGGGCCUGCAUUGCGCCACCUGAUAACGUCCUCACCUCGACCCUUAUCAGACGUCGAGGUCAACGAACUUUUUGAUAAUCUGUUGCGCAACAAUUACGAACCAAGUUUUACUACAUUACAAUUGAAGAGAAAAUAGUUGCGGUGUACCCGUUAAAAAAUAAAUACUUGACAAGAAAUUACAAUAUUCUCAGACUUUUUUGUAAAUUCCACUGACUAUUCUACAUUCAGGAUAGAAAAUUCGCAUUAAUAAACGUAUUAAGAACUA